RNAcentral lists this ribosomal RNA (305 nucleotides) under uncultured bacterium. RNAcentral's name for it is "bacterial SSU rRNA". It matches the Rfam family "Bacterial small subunit ribosomal RNA", at positions 335 to 637 of the family's 1533-position model. The record is from RNAcentral.
UUGCCUACGGGGGGCAGCAGUGAGGAAUAUUGGUCAAUGGGCGGAAGCCUGAACCAGCCAAGUCGCGUGAGGGAUUAAGGCCCUAUGGGUCGUAAACCUCUUUUGUCAGGGAGCAAUGGCGUCCACGUGUGGGCGUAUGGAGAGUACCUGAAGAAAAAGCAUCGGCUAACUCCGUGCCAGCAGCCGCGGUAAUACGGAGGAUGCGAGCGUUAUCCGGAUUUAUUGGGUUUAAAGGGUGCGUAGGCGGAACAUUAAGUCAGCGGUAAAAUCGAGGGGCUCAACCCCUUUAAGCCGUUGAAACUGGG